Molecule: non-coding RNA, 13292 nt
Organism: Rattus norvegicus (Norway rat)
Lineage: Eukaryota; Metazoa; Chordata; Mammalia; Rodentia; Muridae
Source: RefSeq, a predicted model, not a curated record
CUGUUUAGCUCUGCCCGCUUCCUUUCCCAGGCUCUAGAACGAACCCCCGCGGAGCAGUCCCCAACAGGUGUCCCCUGGGCACAACAGCCCGCGGGUCCCCAAAGCCGCCCUGCCCGCAGUGCGCACCGGGGAGGAUGCGGCCUGGGCUUGAGCCUGCGCGGCCACGUGACGGCCGCUAUAAGAGCUGCGGGCUGCGGACUCCCGCCCUCCCUGCUGGCCGCGGUCACCUACAGGCGCCCGGCUCCUCCGACCCACCGGCCACACUAUGACAGAUCAGGCUUUUGUGACGCUCACCACAAACGAUGCCUAUGCCAAAGGGGCGCUGGUCCUGGGCUCAUCUUUGAAACAGCACAGGACUACUAGGAGGACGGUUGUACUCGCCAGCCCACAGGUUUCAGACUCCAUGAGAAAAGUUUUAGAGACUGUCUUUGAUGAAGUCAUCAUGGUAGAUGUCUUGGACAGUGGUGAUUCUGCUCAUCUAACCUUAAUGAAGAGGCCUGAGUUGGGCAUCACGUUGACUAAACUCCACUGCUGGUCACUCACUCAGUAUUCCAAAUGUGUGUUCAUGGAUGCAGAUACUCUGGUUCUCUCAAAUAUUGAUGAUCUUUUUGAAAGAGAAGAAUUGUCAGCAGCACCAGACCCAGGGUGGCCUGACUGUUUCAAUUCUGGAGUCUUUGUCUAUCAACCCUCAAUUGAAACGUAUAACCAGCUGUUGCAUCUUGCUUCUGAGCAAGGUAGUUUUGAUGGUGGGGACCAGGGCCUACUGAAUACAUAUUUUAGUGGCUGGGCAACGACAGAUAUCACAAAACACUUGCCAUUUGUGUAUAACCUGAGCAGCCUCUCAAUAUACUCCUACCUCCCGGCAUUUAAAGCGUAAGUACAAACAGUUUAACUGCUGUAGGUUAUGGUGAGGGUAGAGGAGUGGGCUUUCACGCUAUCAUCUUUUGGAGGAAAAUAAUAGUUGAGUGCUUUUGAGGAAAGCUUGCUCUUGUAAAAACCUGGCUGCAGUUUCGAGAAGCUUGAUGUCAUCCACUGCUCUAUACUUAAAGUAGCCCAGAGACAUUUUGCUGUCUUCUGGAACAGAUUUCCUCUGUUUCUGGAUUAUACCACACCGGCUGCUGAGCUUUGGUCUUCCCUCUUCUUUCUCUUCCUCCUUUCUCUUCUUCCUUCUCUUCCUCUCCCUCUUCUUUCUCUUCUUCCUUCUCUUCUUCUUUUCCUCUUCCUCUCCCCCUCUUCUUCCUCCCCCUCUCCCUUCUCUUCUUUCUCUUCUUCCCUCUCCUCUUCCUCCUUUUUCUCUUCUUCCUUCUCUUCCUCCUCCUUUUCCCCUUUCCCCUCUUCCCCUCUUCCUCUUCUUCCUCCUUCCCCUCCUCCCCCUUCCCCCUCUUCCUCCUCUUCUUCCUCUUCCUCCUCAUUCACAAAGAGGACAUUGCCAGUCCCAUCCAUGGCUUUCGAGGGAACUUAGAGCAGGCAGCAGCAUGCUGUGUGCUUAAGAGGGGGACUUGCAACUGACUACACUCAGCUUACAUCCUAAAGUUGCUGCUUACCAGUUACUGAUGCUGGAUUUAAAGCCUGAGCUGUUCUGCUUCUGCAUCUUUGUGGGGUUAUUGUAGGAACUGAGAACUGUGACAAUGAAAGCAAUUAGGAAUCUGGCCUUCACUGGGCACUAAGUGAAAGUCCUUUACUUAGUUCAUUUUAGAAACUCUGUGUCACCCAAUUGCAAUUUACCAAACAGUGAAGACCUGAGACCUGUUCUUUAGCUUCUGAAUCAUUUGUGUUCAACUGAUAUGAUUCAGACUUCAUGAGCAGUGGCCAAGCUGUCAGGGUGAUGCUAGAACAUAGACAUAAAAAUAAGGCCCUUUUGCGAGUUUUUCUACUCUCUUCCAUACCCAUGUGGCAUGCACAUUCCCGUGUAAGCCCUCGUGUUUUAUUAUCCAAAGUCCUCUCUGUAUAUCCUGCACCACAGUAAUGAACAUAUCUAGAUUUCUGUGGCAGGGAUGUAUCCUUUUCAGCACUUUUUGGGGGCAGACUCUGACCAUCCCCAGAUAAGGAUUUUAAGUAUCUUGUGUUUUUUUUUCCCUCAGUGUUUUCUUGGCACAUCUCUGACACAAAGUCAAUUCUUUUGCCCUUCAAUAAUAAGACAGGCAAGCUCUUACACUAUUCUGAGUAAAGCAAAUAGAAUAGGGUUGACAUCAUCAAGAACAUAAAUAUUGUUUUUCAUUCCUCAGUCCUCAGGAUUAUAAAAUCCAUUCUGUCUUGUAUGCACUUGUGGACCUGGUUUAUUUUAAUCCUAUUGACUCAUAACUAGGCCUGCCAGCUUGAAUAGUGUCCUACAGACCAUGAUAGCUUGAACCCCCUAGAGCUGAAUUUGUCUAUAGUAAAGCAGUUGCUAUAAUCCAACUGACUAAAUGAGUGUAACAAGCAAGAACUGUGAAAGCGAAUAAUUUGAAUGGCAUGAUGAGGGUGCGGAGUUCUUCUGAGCAGAUAUUUUGGAAUGAGUGUAGUGGGGUGGCACACAUCUGAUGUUGUCUGUUUAGCUUCAGUUCCCGAACAUGAUGAACUUGGUGCUCAUGAAGCUUCUGUUUCCCUGUGGCUUAGUUUAAUCUGCUUUCCAGCCUACGUGCCAACACCAGACACAUCCCACUUCUCCAGACAGCUUGGUUUGCUUGAGCACUGCUUGUGCUUGUUCACACAGAGGAAGCAGGGAGAGCAGUGUUAGUGCUGCAAAAGAAGGACUUCUUUACUAGAGCUUUGGUCCCUAUCUCCAAAGAGCCCUGCCGUUUCAUGUUCUCUAAAUGAAGCUCCCAAAGUUUGAGAUCUAAAUGAUCAUAAUGACCAAGGUGGUUUCUUCUUCCUAGUGCAGCGAAUGAUGCUAGCUUAGGCAAGAUCCUUGCUCUGUUGCCAUUUCUAUAGAGUGUGUGGCACAUUGAGAAAAUCUGAAUGACUCCCAUUGAUCACUGAUCAUGCAACCUGCAGACUGACACAUUUCUGCUACCCUAUGGUAGCUUGCCCUCAGUGGGCCCAGCUCUUUAUUUCUUUGAUAGGACUGCUCAAAGUCAGACCUUAUCUCCUCCCACUGCUGCCUGUUUAAGAAUCCUGAAACCAGAUUCGAGAAUUCAUUUUUCCUUCCCUCUGCCAGAAAAUGUUUUUGUUUUUCUUUUCAAGACUUAGCUUCAUAGACAAUUCCCUCUAUUUUCUUACACUGGGAAAAGGAUGAGACAGUGUAGGCAGUGCAGACAUGUAUGUGAAUGCAUGCACACUUGGUGUGCACCCACAUACACUUUUAAAACAUGUACUAUUACAUGCAGUUUCAGCCAAGAUGGCCUCAUGGGAAUUAAUUUCUAUUUGAGCCAUGAAAUAGUAAGUCUAAUGCCCUCUUAGGAGGCAAAUCAGCUUGGAGAGGGGUGUUACAGGAUGGGCAAACGGGGGAGAAAGGAGUGAGAUCCCAUGGGCAGAACCUUGUUGGAGGUUAGGACCUCAUUUGGAGAGGGGCUCAUGGAAGGAAAAAACAGGAUUAAGUAGAGGAACUAGCCCUUCUCACAGAUCUUAAAGCCUUAGGCUGCAUUUGUCACAUGAGUUUCUUCCGUUUGUGCUAUGCAUAAUUUUAUUAAAUUCAUUUGUCAUUGUUUAAAAACUAGGGGUUGAAACCUAGUCUUCCAGCUUGCUUUGAAAAGUGAAGUAUCGGGUGUAAUAUGUCAAAUAUGACCAGGAGGUUUGCAGAGUGUGGGUGUUGCAUUUCACAAGGUAAGAGGGACUUUGGAAAUAAAUGUCAGGUGUAGAAAACUUGGGAAGUGUGUAUUAACAUCCUAGUGAGACUGUGAAAUAGAUAAACUGAUAUAAAAGGAUUCUUCCAACCCUAAAUCAGGCAUUUAUACUACUCCUUUACCGCUCACCAAACAUUGCAAGAGAAGGGCUGAAGGAUCCAUGUGCUGGGAAACAGGGAGAAAGGAGGCUUCUGCAGUGCCACUGUCCAGAGGCAGUAGAGCCACUGCACUCAUGGACUCACAACAGCUGUGCCUUCUCACAUUGAGACUGCAUGAGACAGGCCGUCAAGUGUCAGCCCGGGUUAGGGAAAAGGCUGAACUAUUAGCUACUGAUAGAUUCCAUAAGAGGGAGCCAUUGUUUUCAGGUGCAUACUCCAUUCUGAGGUGAUCAGGAUCCACUGGAUAGGAUAGGUCGGUAUCCAUGAGCACAAAGGUGUCCUCAGUCAAACUCAGUGGGUCUCCCACAAACAUAACAAAAGCCAUGGAUGUAGCAAUUAGUAAGGAAGAGGGGAAUAUAUAGGGGAGGGAGAGAAAUAGAGACAGUAAUGGGUGAGAGCAUAUACAUCUAUGGAAUAAGGCCAUAUAUACAUCUACGGACUUGCCAGAGAAUCAAUUUUAAACAAGUCAGGUCUGAAUGAGACAAAACUACUAAAGCUGCCAGCAAAUAAAUGUUUAUAGCCACUAAACAAGAUGACAUAACCAAUGGACUGGUUAUUGGUAGAAGAAUCCUGAAGACUGAGCCUGGGGAGAAGGGGUAAUAAAUCCAGAACAGAAAGGUACAAGGAGACCCAGCGAAGUGGUGGUAUUGUGGAAAGGCAUACAAUGAAAAUAUUUCCCGGAGAAAGGAACACUUCAUCUGUGUGGAGUGCUAUUGUAGAUGCAAGGACAACUUGGAAUGGUACAGAAUGUAAAGUCCCUGCUGAGUAAGCAAGUAUGCGUGCAGUAAGGCAGUGGAAGAGAAAGUCUGACUAAAGCAGGCCGAAGACAGUGGAGGCCGGAAAUGCACACAGCCUUCCUGCUUCUAACAGGAACAGGAAGGGCAGCUGAGUGGGAAAAGAAAGCAGAUGUUUCAUGUUUCUAGCAAUAGGAAUGGAUGUGGAGGGAUGCCAUUAAUUAAUAAAGCAGAGAACUGAGAUGAGAGUGAGAGUGAUGUCUUUGAUAGGACAAAAAGGAAGACAUCUAGUCUACACAUGGGGAGGUUGUGCACAGAGAAGAGGCAGGACAGUUCAUCCUCAGAAACAUGGGGGAAAUGGUGUCUAGUACAGGUAUGGAUAUUGGCAGGUGGGUGUAAACUCCAGUUUGGGGAGUGGGCAGUCAGCCGGUAGAGGCAGAGGAUGCUACACCAGGAGAGUCUACCUCUUGACAUUCUGAGAUUUGUGGAGAAAUGCUGGCCUGACAGACAAUGUACCUGACAGGGCCCAAUCAAUGCUGUAGAGUGCGGAUGCUCUGACUUCUAAAUGCUGUUGAGAGGGUCCACUUGCUAGGCAUGGAAAACAGUGUGGCAUGUUGUUUGUAGCUAUGAAACAUCUGUACCUGGGGAUGGGACAGGAAUCCUUCUGUGUUUCACAUCCCUACUUGACUUGGUACUCAACUCCUUCUGCAGGAUUAACCGUAUCGCAUAGGCAUUUGAGUUUGUGACUUUUUAAAAACAUUUGUGCUAGGUUGGGCUGGCUUUGAACUCACUGUGUAACUCAUGCUGUCCUCAAACUUACAACAAUCCUCUUACCUCAGCUCCUCACUCACAAGUACUGAGCAUUUGUUCAAGCAUGAGCCAUCACCCCAGGCUCCUGACAGACUGUGGAUGGGUGAGAGAUGCACAUUUUGGUGAAAAGAGAGAGGUAUUCAUCACUCUUAGGGAAGAACUGUUGGGAAUCUGAACAAGCAUUUAACCGAGUGGUGAUGAGACAGAGAGCAUGCACCAAUUUGGGGUGGGCAAGACGAUUCCCGCUGCCUUUGGCACAUUUCCAGAAGAGCACCAUGCAAAUACUGCUGUUUCCUUCUUAGUAUCUCAUAGAGCGCUGCAUAUAAAAAGUUGACUGAUUAAAUUGCUUGCCGGGUGUGUUGUCCUGGAUUAGCUCCUUUCUAUUCUCACUAGGUCUUCAGCCCCAUCCGGGUCACUAACCACUGAACUAGCCAUAUGAUGCCCAUCUGAUCUUGUGGUAAUAUCAGGUCACAGAGAUUAUUUCAACAGCUAGCAUAAGCAGUGUUGUUGCUGGCUUCGGCUCAAACUAUGUCUUGUGAUCUGGACGAUGACUCCUUAGAGAUUCUAUCAAGUUAAAAUUAGAAUACUUAUUUUAAGAAAUAUAUGCAAGCUGAUACAAAUCCCCUUACUGGGUCAGAAUAAAUGGCUCUUAAUAAUUUAGAAACAAUUGAACCAAACUUCUUUUUUAAAUUCCUGGCUGGUGAUUUUGUGGAUAAACCCAGGGUAUAUCAGGAAACCUCAUUAUUUUUGUCAUAAGCUGGAGUCAAUUGAGUUAAAUGCCCCUUUCUAGCCAUUAGUGCUUUGUUUUUGUUUUGUUUUUUACUUGUUUGUUUUUUUUCUUUUUUUAAAAGAGAUUAAGUUAUUUUUUUUAUUAACUUGAGUAUUUCUUAUAUACAUUUCGAGUGUUAUUCCCUUUCCCGGUAUCCGGGCAAAAAUCCCCCUCCCCCCUCCCCUUCCUUAUGGGUGUUCCCCUCCCGAUCCUCCCCCCAUUGCCGCCCUCCCCCCACCAGUCUAGUUCACUGGGGGUUCAGUCUUAGCAGGACCCAGGGCUUCCCCUUACACUGGUGCUCUUACUAGGAUAUUCAUUGCUACCUAUGAGGUCAGAGUCCAGGGUCAGUCCAUGUAUAGUCUUUAGGUAGUGGCUUAGUCCCUGGAAGCUCUGGUUGCUUAGCAUUGUUGUACAUAUGGGGUCUCGAGCCCCUUCAAGCUCUUCCAGUUCUUUCUCUGAUUCCUUCAACUGGGGUCCUAUUCUCAGUUCAGUGGUUUGCUGCUGGCAUUCGCCUCUGUAUUUGCUGUAUUCUGGCUGUGUCUCUCAGGAGCGAUCUACAUCCGGCUCCUGUCGGCCUGCACUUCUUGGCUUCACCCAUCUUGUCUAAUUGGGUGGCUGUAUAUGUAAGGGCCACAUGUGGGCCAGGCUCUGAAUGGGUGUUCCUUCAGUCUCUGUUUUAAUCUUUGCCUCUCUCUUCCCUGCCAAGGGUAUUCUUUUUCCCCUUUUAAAGAAGGAGUGAAGCAUUCACAUUUUGAUCAUUCAUCUUGAGUUUCAUUUGUUCUAGGCAUCUAGGGUAAUUCAAGUAUUUGGGCUAAUAGCCACUUAUCAAUGAGUGCAUACCAUGUAUGUCUUUCUGUGGUUGGGUUAGCUCACUCAGGAUGAUGUUUUCCAGUUCCAACCAUUUGCCUACGAAUUUCAUAAAGUCGUUGUUUUUGAUAGCUGAGUAAUAUUCCAUUGUGUAGAUGUACCACAUUUUCUGUAUCAUUCUUCUGUUGAAGGGCAUCUGGGUUCUUUCCAGCUUCUGGCUAUUAUAAAUAAGGCUGCAUUGAACAUAGUGGAGCACGUGUCUUUUUUAUAUGUUGGGGCAUCUUUUGGGUAUAUGCCCAAGACAGGUAUAGCUGGGUCCUCAGGUAGUUCAAUGUCCAAUUUUCUGAGGAACCUCCAGACUGAUUUCCAGAAUGGUUGUACCAGUCUGAAAUCCCACCAACAAUGGAGGAGUGUUCCUCUUUCUCCACAUCCUCACCAGCAUCUGCUGUCACCUGAGUUUUUGAUCUUAGCCAUUCUCACUGGUGUGAGGUGAAAUCUCAGGGUUGUUUUGAUUUGCAUUUCCCUUAUGACUAAAGAUGUUGAACAUUUCUUUAGGUGUUUCUCAGCCAUUUGGCAUUCUUCAGCUGUGAAUUCUUUGUUUAGCUCUGAACCCCAUUUUUUAAUACGGUUAUUUGUUUCCCUGCGGUCUAACUUCUUGAGUUCUUUGUAUAUUUUGGAUAUAAGGCCUCUAUCUGUUGUAGGAUUGGUAAAGAUCUUUUCCCAAUCUGUUGGUUGCCGUUUUGUCCUAACCACAGUGUCCUUUGCCUUACAGAAGCUUUGCAGUUUUAUGAGAUCCCAUUUGUCGAUUCUUGAUCUUAGAGCGUAAGUCAUUGGUGUUUUGUUUAGGAAAUUUUUUCCAGUGCCCAUGUGUUCCAGAUGCUUCCCUAGUUUUUCUUCUAUUAGUUUGAGUGUAUCUGGUUUGAUGUGGAGGUCCUUGAUCCACUUGGACUUAAGCUUUGUACAGGGUGAUAAGCAUGGAUCGAUCUGCAUUCUUCUACAUGUUGACCUCCAGUUGAACCAGCACCAUUUGCUGAAAAUGCUAUCUUUUUUUCCAUUGGAUGGUUUUGGCUCCUUUGUCAAAAAUCAAGUGACCAUAGGUGUAUGGGUUCAUUUCUGGGUCUUCAAUUCUAUUCCAUUGGUCUAUCUGUCUGUCUCUGUACCAAUACCAUGCAGUUUUUAUCACUAUUGCUCUGUAAUACUGCUUGAGUUCAGGGAUAGUGAUUCCCCCUGAAGUCCUUUUAUUGUUGAGGAUAGCUUUAGCUAUCCUGGGUUUUUUGUUAUUCCAGAUGAAUUUGCAAAUUGUUCUGUCUAACUCUUUGAAGAAUUGGAUUGGUAUUUUGAUGGGGAUUGCAUUGAAUCUGUAAAUUGCUUUUGGUAAAAUGGCCAUUUUUACUAUAUUAAUCCUGCCAAUCCAUGAGCAUGGGAGAUCUUUCCAUCUUCUGAGGUCUUCUUCAAUUUCUUUCCUCAGUGUCUUGAAGUUCUUAUUGUACAGAUCUUUUACUUGCUUUGUUAAAGUCACACCGAGGUACUUUAUAUUAUUUGGGUCUAUUAUGAAGGGUGUCGUUUCCCUAAUUUCUUUCUCGGCUUGUUUCUCUUUUGUAUAGAGGAAGGCAACUGAUUUAUUUGAGUUAAUUUUAUACCCAGCCACUUUGCUGAAGUUGUCUAUCAGCUUUAGUAGUUCUCUGGUGGAACUUUUGGGAUCACUUAAAUAUACUAUCAUAUCAUCUGCAAAUAGUGAUAUUUUGACUUCUUCUUUUCCGAUCUGUAUCCCCUUGACCUACUUUUGUUGUCUGAUUGCUCUGGCUAGAACUUCAAGAACUAUAUUGAAUAAGUAGGGAGAGAGUGGGCAGCCUUGUCUAGUCCCUGAUUUUAGUGGGAUUGCUUCAAGUUUCUCUCCAUUUAGUUUAAUGUUAGCAAAUGGUUUGCUGUAUAUGGCUUUUACUAUGUUCAGGUAUGGGCCUUGAAUUCCUAUUCUUUCCAGGACUUUUAUCAUGAAGGGGUGUUGAAUUUUGUCAAAUGCUUUCUCAGCAUCUAAUGAAAUGAUCAUGUGGUUCUGUUCUUUCAGUUUGUUUAUAUAAUGGAUCACGUUGAUGGUUUUCCGUAUAUUAAACCAUCCCUGCAUGCCUGGGAUGAAGCCUACUUGAUCAUGGUGGAUGAUUGUUUUGAUGUGCUCUUGAAUUUGGUUUGCCAGCAUUUUAUUGAGUAUUUUUGCGUCGAUAUUCAUAAGGGAAAUUGGUCUGAAGUUCUCUUUCUUUGUUGUGUCUUUGUGUGGUUUAGGUAUAAGAGUAAUUGUGGCUUCGUAGAAGGAAUUCGGUAGGGCUCCAUCUGUUUCAAUUUUGUGGAAUAGUUUGGAUAAUAUUGGUAUGAGGUCUUCUAUGAAGGUUUGAUAGAAUUCUGCACUAAACCCGUCUGGACCUGGGCUCUUUUUGGUUGGGAGACCUUUAAUGACUGCUUCUAUUUCCUUAGGAGUUAUGGGGUUGUUUAACUGGUUUAUCUGUUCCUGAUUUAACUUUGAUACCUGGUAUCUGUCUAGGAAAUUGUCCAUUUCCUGAAGAUUUUCAAGUUUUGUUGAAUAUAGGUUUUUAUAGUAAGAUCUGAUGAUUUUUUGAAUUUCCUCUGAAUCUGUUGUUAUGUCUCCCUUUUCAUUUCUGAUUUUGUUAAUUUGGACGCACUCUCUGUGUCUUCUCGUUAGUCUGGCUAAGGGUUUAUCUAUCUUGUUGAUUUUUCUCAAAGAACCAACUUUUGGUUCUGUUGAUUCUUUCUAUGGUCCUUUUUGUUUCUACUUGGUUGAUUUCAGCUCUGAGUUUGAUUAUUUCCUGCCUUCUACUCCUCCUGGGUGUAUUUGCUUCUUUUUGUUCUAGAGCUUUUAGGUGUGCUGUCAAGCUGCUGACAUAUGCUCUUUCCUGUUUCUUUCUGCAGGCACUCAGCGCUAUGAGUUUUCCUCUUAGCACAGCUUUCAUUGUGUCCCAUAAGUUUGGGUAUGUUGUACCUUUAUUUUCAUUAAAUUCUAAAAAGUUUUUAAUUUCUUUCUUUAUUUCUUCCUUGACCAGGUUAUCAUUGAGUAGAGCAUUGUUCAAUUGCCAAGUAUAUGUGGGCAUUCUUCCUUGAUUGUUAUUGAAGACCAGUUUUAGGCUGUGGUGGUCCGAUAGCACGCAUGGGAUUAUUUCUAUCUUUCUGUACCUGUUGAGGCCCGUUUUUUGACCAAUUAUAUGGUCAGUUUUGGAGAAAGUACCAUGAGGAGCUGAGAAGAAGGUAUAUCCUUUUGCUUUAGGAUAGAAUGUUCUAUAAAUAUCUGUUAAGUCAAUUUGGCUCAUGACUUCUCUUAGUCUGUCGACAUCACUGUUUAAUUUCUGUUUCCAUGAUCUGUCCAUUGAUGAGAGUGGGGUGUUGAAAUCUCCCACUAUUAUUGUGUGAGGUGCAAUGUGUAUUUUGAGCUUUAGUAAGGUUUCUUUUACAUAUGUAGGUGCCCUUUUAUUUGGGGCAUAGAUAUUUAGGAUUGAGAGUUCAUCUUCUUGGAUUUUUCCUUUGAUGAAUAUGAAGUGUCCUUCCUUAUCUUUUUUGAUGACUUUUAGUUGAAAAUUGAUUUUAUUUGAUAUUAGAAUGGCUACUCCAGCUUGCUUCUUCUGACCAUUUGCUUGGAAAGUUGUUUUCCAGCCUUUCACUCUGAGGUAAUGUCUGUCUUUGUCUCUGAGGUGUGUUUCCUGUAGGCAGCAGAAUGCAGGGUCCUUGUUGAGUAUCCAGUUUGUUAAUCUAUGUCUUUUUAUUGGGGAGUUGAGGCCAUUGAUGUUGAGAGAUAUUAAGGAAUAGUAAUUAUUGCUUCCUGUUAUAUUCAUAUUUGGAUGUGAGGUUAUGUUUGUGUGCUUUCAUUCUCUUUGUUUUGUUGCCAAGACGAUUAGUUUCUUGCUUCUUCUAGGGUAUAGCUUGCCUCCUUAUGUUUGGCUUUACCAUUUAUUAUCCUUUGUAGUUCUGGAUUUGUAGAAAGAUAUUGUGUAAAUUUGGUUUUGUCAUGGAAUAUCUUGGUUUCUCCAUCUAUGUUAAUUGAGAGUUUUGCAGGAUACAGUAACCUGGGCUGGCAUUUGUGUUCUCUUAGGGUCUGUAUGACAUCAGUCCAGGAUCUUCUGGCCUUCAUAGUUUCUGGCGAGAAGUCUGGUGUGAUUCUGAUAGGUCUGCCUUUAUAUGUUACUUGACCUUUUUCCCUUACUGCUUUUAAUAUUCUUUCUUUAUUUUGUGCGUUUGGUGUUUUGACUAUUAUGUGACGGGAUGUGUUUCUUUUCUGAUCCAAUCUAUUUGGAGUUCUGUAGGCUUCUUGUAUGCCUAUGGGUAUCUCUUUUUUUAGGUUAGGGAAGUUUUCUUCUAUGAUUUUGUUGAAGAUAUUUACUGGUCCUUUGAGCUGGGAGUCUUCACUCUCUUCUAUACCUAUUAUCCUUAGGUUUGAUCUUCUCAUUGAGUCCUGGAUUUCCUGUAUGUUUUGGACCAGUAGCUUUUUCCACUUUACAUUAUCUUUGACAGUUGAGUCAAUGAUUUCUAUGGAAUCUUCUGCUCCUGAGAUUCUCUCUUCCAUCUCUUGUAUUCUGUUGGUGAAGCUUGUAUCUACAGCUCCUUGUCUCUUCUUUUGGUUUUCUAUAUCCAGGGUUGUUUCCAUGUGUUCUUUCUUGAUUGCUUCUAUUUCCAUUUUUAAUUCCCUCAACUGUUUCAUUGUGUUUUCCUGGAAUUCUUUCAGGGAUUUUUGCGAUUCCUCUCUGUAGGCUUCUACUUGUUUAUUAAUGUUUUCCUGUGUUUCCCUAAGGGUGUUCUUCACGUCUUUCUUGAAGUCCUCCAGCAUCAUGAUCAAAUAUGAUUUUUAAACUAGAUCUUGCUUUUCUGGUGUGUUUGGAUAUUCCAUGUUUAUUUUGGUGAGAGAAUUGGGCUCCGAUGAUGCCAUGUAGUCUUGGUUUCUGUUGCUUGGGUUCCUGCGCUUGCCUCUCGCCAUCAGAUUAUUUCUAGUGUUACUUUGUUCUGCUAUUUCUGACAGUGGCUAGACUGUCCUAUAAGCCUGAGUGCUGUAGAUCUGUUUUCCUCUCUUUCAGUCAGUUAUGGGGACAGAGUGUUCUGUUUUAGGGCGUGUAGUUUUUCCUCUCUACAGGUCUUCAGCUGUUCCUGUGGGCCUGUGUCUUGAGUUCACCAGGCAGCUUUCUUGCAGCAGAAAAGUUGGUCUUACCUGUGGUCCCGAGGCUCAAGUUCGCUCGUCGGGUGCUGCCCACGGGCUCUCUGCAGCGGCAGCAACCAGGAAGACCUGUGCCUCCCCUUCCGGGGGCUUCAGUGCACCAGGGUUCCAGAUGGCCUUUGGUGUUUUCCUCUGGCGUCCGAGAUGUGUGCGCAGAGAGCAGUCUCUUCUGGUUUCCCAGGCUUGUCUGCCUCUCUGAAGGUUUAGCUCUCCCUCCCACGGGAUUUGGGUGCAGAGAACUGUUUAUCCGGUCUGUUUCCUUCAGGUUCCGGGGGUGUCUCAGGCAGGGGUCCUGCCGCUCCUGGGCCCUCCACCACGGGAGCCCAGAGGCCUUAUACAGUUUCCUCUUGGGCCAGGGAUGUGGGCAGGGGUGGGCAGUGUUGGUGGUGUCUUCCACUCUGCAGCCUCAGGAGUGCCCACCUGACCAGGCGGUGAGGCCUCUUUCCCAAGGGGUCUGGGAGCAGAGAGCUGCUGCCGGCUGGGAUCCGCGGGCGUGGGACCUCUGGCAAACACAGGACGUGCCCGGUCCUAGAUGAACUCUGCCUCUGUGUGUCCCGAUCUCACCAGGCAGCUCUCUUGCAGCAGACAAGUUGGUCUUACCUGUGGUCCCGAGGCUCAAGUUGCUCGCGGGGUGCUGCCCACGGGCUUUCUGCAGCGGCAGCAACCAGGAAGACCUGUGCUGCCCCUUCCGGGAGCUUCAGUGCACCAGGGUUCCAGAUGGUCUUUGGCUUUUUCCUCUGGCGUCCGAGAUGUGUGUGCAGAGAGCAGUCUCUUCUGGUUUCCCAGGCUUGUCUGCCUCUCUGAAGGUUUAGCUCUCCCUCCCACGGGAUUUGGGUGCAGAGAACUGUUUAUCCGGUCUGUUUCCCUCAGGUUCCGGCGGUGUCUCUACUUGUUUGUUUUUUGCUUUCUGCCAGGUGGUGUACAUUCUACCUACAUGCUGCCUUUAGGUUUGGUAAAAAUGCCAAAGUUGUGCACUUCCUGGGACGAACCAAGCCAUGGAAUUACACGUACAAUCCCCAAACAAAAAGUGUCAAAUGUGAAUCCCAGGAC